AUACUUCCUGGCAGGGGAGAUACCAUGAUCACAAAGGUGGUUUACCCAGGGUGAGGCCCAGGCAUUGAACUACGUCUGUGCUGACCUCUGCGAAUUCCCCAAAUGUGGGAAUAUCUACGGCAUAAUUUCUGGCAAUGGGGGACUGCGUUCACGUUCUCCCCUG
This is a small nuclear RNA of Paramormyrops kingsleyae, 163 nucleotides long. Its record names the gene U1. It matches the Rfam family "U1 spliceosomal RNA". Rfam says of the family: U1 is a small nuclear RNA (snRNA) component of the spliceosome (involved in pre-mRNA splicing). Its 5' end forms complementary base pairs with the 5' splice junction, thus defining the 5' donor site of an intron. Lineage: Eukaryota; Metazoa; Chordata; Actinopteri; Osteoglossiformes; Mormyridae. The record is from Ensembl.